GAUGAAGAACGCAGCGAAAUGCGAUAAGUAAUGUGAAUUGCAGAAUUCAGUGAAUCAUCGAAUCUUUGAACGCACAUUGCGCCCCCUGGUAUUCCGGGGGGCAUGCCUGUUCGAGCGUCAUUUCACCACUCAAGCCUCGCUUGGUAUUGGGCAACGCGGUCCGCCGCGUGCCUCAAAUCGACCGGCUGGGUCUUCUGUCCCCUAAGCGUUGUGGAAACUUUCGCUAAAGGGUGUUCGGGAGGCUACGCCGUAAAACAUCCCCAUUUCUAAGGUUGACCUCGGAUCAGGUAGGGAUACCCGCUGAACUUAAGCAUAUCAAUAAGCGGAGGA
This 330-nucleotide unclassified non-coding RNA is filed under the name soil metagenome. RNAcentral's name for it is "partial contains 5.8S ribosomal RNA, internal transcribed spacer 2, and large subunit ribosomal RNA". The stretch from base 1 to 120 matches the Rfam family "5.8S ribosomal RNA", at positions 35 to 154 of the family's 154-position model. The record is from RNAcentral.